This 157-nucleotide microRNA precursor is filed under the name Pelobates cultripes (western spadefoot toad). Lineage: Eukaryota; Metazoa; Chordata; Amphibia; Anura; Pelobatidae. The record is from RNAcentral.
AUUUGCAGAAAUGUAGGCUGCACUCACGGACUUCAAAUUUCAAUAUAGGUGCUUUAUUCCAUUAAACAAAUAAAUCGAUCAGAUUUAUUUGUUUAAUGGAAUAAAGCACCUAUAUUGAAAUUUGAAGUCUGUGAGUGCAGCCUACAUUUCUGCAAAU